AAGGAUUUAAGUUAAAUAAACCCGUAGCCUUCAAAGCUUCUAAUAAAGAUACUUAAUUCUUUAAGCCUUA
RNAcentral lists this transfer RNA (70 nucleotides) under Aleocharinae sp. 6 EF-2015. Its description in RNAcentral is "tRNA-Trp". Lineage: Eukaryota; Metazoa; Arthropoda; Insecta; Coleoptera; Staphylinidae. The record is from RNAcentral.